CUACCAUGCAGUCGAACGGCAGCACAGAAGAGCUUGCUCUUUGGGUGGCGAGUGGCGGACGGGUGAGUAAUGUCUGGGAAACUGCCCGAUGGAGGGGGAUAACUACUGGAAACGGUAGCUAAUACCGCAUAACGUCGCAAGACCAAAGUGGGGGACCUUCGGGCCUCACACCAUCGGAUGUGCCCAGAUGGGAUUAGCUAGUAGGUGGGGUAAUGGCUCACCUAGGCGACGAUCCCUAGCUGGUCUGAGAGGAUGACCAGCCACACUGGAACUGAGACACGGUCCAGACUCCUACGGGAGGCAGCAGUGGGGAAUAUUGCACAAUGGGCGCAAGCCUGAUGCAGCCAUGCCGCGUGUAUGAAGAAGGCCUUCGGGUUGUAAAGUACUUUCAGCGGGGAGGAAGGCGGUGAGGUUAAUAACCUUGCCGAUUGACGUUACCCGCAGAAGAAGCACCGGCUAACUCCGUGCCAGCAGCCGCGGUAAUACGGAGGGUGCAAGCGUUAAUCGGAAUUACUGGGCGUAAAGCGCACGCAGGCGGUCUGUUAAGUCAGAUGUGAAAUCCCCGGGCUUAACCUGGGAACUGCAUUUGAAACUGGCAGGCUUGAGUCUCGUAGAGGGGGGUAGAAUUCCAGGUGUAGCGGUGAAAUGCGUAGAGAUCUGGAGGAAUACCGGUGGCGAAGGCGGCCCCCUGGACGAAGACUGACGCUCAGGUGCGAAAGCGUGGGGAGCAAACAGGAUUAGAUACC
RNAcentral lists this ribosomal RNA (746 nucleotides) under Pantoea dispersa. RNAcentral's name for it is "bacterial SSU rRNA". It matches the Rfam family "Bacterial small subunit ribosomal RNA", at positions 49 to 786 of the family's 1533-position model. Lineage: Bacteria; Pseudomonadati; Pseudomonadota; Gammaproteobacteria; Enterobacterales; Erwiniaceae. The record is from RNAcentral.